This 71-nucleotide transfer RNA is filed under the name human gut metagenome. It matches the Rfam family "tRNA". From Rfam's summary of the family: Transfer RNA (tRNA) molecules are approximately 80 nucleotides in length. Their secondary structure includes four short double-helical elements and three loops (D, anti-codon, and T loops). The record is from RNAcentral.
CUGUAUAGCUCAGUUGGCUAGAGCGCUCGGUUCAUACCCGAAAGGUCGUAGGUUCGAAUCCCACUACAGCC